AAUCAACGCUGGCGGCGUGCCUAACACAUGCAAGUCGAACGAGAAAGGGGAGCAAUCCCUGAGUACAGUGGCGACCGGGUGAGUAACACGUGACUAACCUACCCUCGAGUGUGGAAUAACAUCGGGAAACCGAUGCUAAUACCGCAUAACAUCGCAAGAUCAAAGGAGCAAUCCGCUUGAGGAGGGGGUCGCGGCUGAUUAGCUAGUUGGCGGGGUAACGGCCCACCAAGGCGAAGAUCGGUAUCCGGCCUGAGAGGGCGCACGGACACACUGGAACUGAAACACGGUCCAGACUCCUACGGGAGGCAGCAGUGGGGAAUUUUGCGCAAUGGGGGAAACCCUGACGCAGCAACGCCGCGUGGAGGAUGAAGCCCCUUGGGGCGUAAACUCCUUUCGACCAAGACGAUAAUGACGGUACUGGUGGAAGAAGCACCGGCUAACUCUGUGCCAGCAGCCGCGGUAAUACAGAGGGUGCAAGCGUUGUUCGGAAUUAUUGGGCGUAAAGGGCGCGUAGGCGGCGCGGUAAGUCACCUGUGGAAUCUCCAAGCUCAACUUGGAGCCUGCAGGCGAAACUGC
Molecule: ribosomal RNA, 576 nt
Filed under: uncultured bacterium
Lineage: Bacteria
Description: bacterial SSU rRNA
Rfam family: Bacterial small subunit ribosomal RNA
Source: RNAcentral